RNAcentral lists this ribosomal RNA (1437 nucleotides) under uncultured organism. RNAcentral describes it as "SSU rRNA". It matches the Rfam family "Bacterial small subunit ribosomal RNA". The record is from RNAcentral.
CUUAACACAUGCAAGUCGAGGGGCAGCAUGGUCUUAUCUUGCUAAGACUGAUGGCGACCGGCGCACGGGUGAGUAACACGUAUCCAACCUGCCGUCUACUCUUGGACAGCCUUCUGAAAGGAAGAUUAAUACAAGAUGGCAUCAUGAGUCCGCAUGUUCACAUGAUUAAAGGUAUUCCGGUAGACGAUGGGGAUGCGUUCCAUUAGAUAGUAGGCGGGGUAACGGCCCACCUAGUCUUCGAUGGAUAGGGGUUCUGAGAGGAAGGUCCCCCACAUUGGAACUGAGACACGGUCCAAACUCCUACGGGAGGCAGCAGUGAGGAAUAUUGGUCAAUGGGCGAGAGCCUGAACCAGCCAAGUAGCGUGAAGGAUGACUGCCCUAUGGGUUGUAAACUUCUUUUAUAAAGGAAUAAAGUCGGGUAUGCAUACCCGUUUGCAUGUACUUUAUGAAUAAGGAUCGGCUAACUCCGUGCCAGCAGCCGCGGUAAUACGGAGGAUCCGAGCGUUAUCCGGAUUUAUUGGGUUUAAAGGGAGCGUAGAUGGAUGUUUAAGUCAGUUGUGAAAGUUUGCGGCUCAACCGUAAAAUUGCAGUUGAUACUGGAUAUCUUGAGUGCAGUUGAGGCAGGCGGAAUUCGUGGUGUAGCGGUGAAAUGCUUAGAUAUCACGAAGAACUCCGAUUGCGAAGGCAGCCUGCUAAGCUGCAACUGACAUUGAGGCUCGAAAGUGUGGGUAUCAAACAGGAUUAGAUACCCUGGUAGUCCACACGGUAAACGAUGAAUACUCGCUGUUUGCGAUAUACUGCAAGCGGCCAAGCGAAAGCGUUAAGUAUUCCACCUGGGGAGUACGCCGGCAACGGUGAAACUCAAAGGAAUUGACGGGGGCCCGCACAAGCGGAGGAACAUGUGGUUUAAUUCGAUGAUACGCGAGGAACCUUACCCGGGCUUAAAUUGCAGAUGAAUUACGGUGAAAGCCGUAAGCCGCAAGGCAUCUGUGAAGGUGCUGCAUGGUUGUCGUCAGCUCGUGCCGUGAGGUGUCGGCUUAAGUGCCAUAACGAGCGCAACCCUUGUUGUCAGUUACUAACAGGUUCCGCUGAGGACUCUGACAAGACUGCCAUCGUAAGAUGUGAGGAAGGUGGGGAUGACGUCAAAUCAGCACGGCCCUUACGUCCGGGGCUACACACGUGUUACAAUGGGGGGUACAGAGGGCCGCUACCACGCGAGUGGAUGCCAAUCCCCAAAACCUCUCUCAGUUCGGACUGGAGUCUGCAACCCGACUCCACGAAGCUGGAUUCGCUAGUAAUCGCGCAUCAGCCACGGCGCGGUGAAUACGUUCCCGGGCCUUGUACACACCGCCCGUCAAGCCAUGGGAGCCGGGGGUACCUGAAGUGCGUAACCGCGAGGAGCGCCCUAGGGUAAAACUGGUGACUGGGGCUAAGUCG